Molecule: ribosomal RNA, 408 nt
Filed under: uncultured Methylomirabilota bacterium
Lineage: Bacteria; Methylomirabilota (SeqCode)
Description: bacterial SSU rRNA
Rfam family: Bacterial small subunit ribosomal RNA
Source: RNAcentral
CGUGGAGACAGGUGGUGCAUGGCUGUCGUCAGCUCGUGUCGUGAGAUGUUGGGUUAAGUCCCGCAACGAGCGCAACCCUCACCUCUUGUUGCCAUCAGGUCAUGCUGGGCACUCUAGAGGAACUGCCCCGGUCAACGGGGAGGAAGGCGGGGAUGACGUCAAGUCAUCAUGCCCCUUACGUCCUGGGCUACACACGUGCUACAAUGGCCGGUACAAAGGGAUGCCACACCGCGAGGUAGAGCUAAACCCAAAAAGCCGGUCUAAGUUCAGAUUGGAGUCUGCAACUCGACUCCAUGAAGGAGGAAUCGCUAGUAAUCGCGUAUCAGCACGACGCGGUGAAUACGUUCCCGGGCCUUGUACACACCGCCCGUCAUACCACGAAAGUCUGCUGUACUCGAAGUCGCUGAG